CAUAAUCAGAAUAAAAGUUAUCUCCCUUAUGUUUCAGCCAUGGUCGAGAAAGACCCUCUGCCCGUCUGAGCAUUCGUAGGGAUCGACCAUUAUCUGUCCACUUAAACCUGGGCCAGAAAGGUAACCGGAAAACUUCUUGGUAAGAGAGAGAACACAUUAAUUACUAUAUUAUCUGCCUUUGAAAUAUGAGUCAGAAUAGUUAUGGCACUUUCCCUUUUCUGCAGUAACUCUUUUUUUUGUUUCAUUUUUAAUUACAGUCCAAUAAAAAUAAAUCAGUUUGAAGGGCAUUUCAUGAAGCUACAGGCUGACUCCAACUACCUUCUAUCCAAGGAAUACGAGGUACAACUCAGGCAGAAUGAAGCUUCAGCAUCCCUAGUUCUUAGCAGAAUUUCCUUCCUAAUGUUUACUGUGUCAUCAUAGGCUGAUUGAGCUCAGAAGUUAGGAGGCUGCUUAGAAUCUCAGCUGAGCACUCUUAUAUGCCUAAACUAUGCCCUGAAUAGAAUAUACCAUCUAAUCUUAGAGGCCAGCUUGAGCUCCAGAAUAACACAGC
RNAcentral lists this small RNA (550 nucleotides) under Pan troglodytes (chimpanzee). RNAcentral's name for it is "retained intron". Lineage: Eukaryota; Metazoa; Chordata; Mammalia; Primates; Hominidae. The record is from RNAcentral.